RNAcentral lists this long non-coding RNA (211 nucleotides) under Elaeis guineensis (African oil palm). RNAcentral describes it as "long non-coding RNA (EGUI_LNC006528)". Lineage: Eukaryota; Viridiplantae; Streptophyta; Magnoliopsida; Arecales; Arecaceae. The record is from RNAcentral.
CACCACCUUACUUUAGUUUUUGGUCAAUUUGAUUAUUGACACCAAAAGCAUGACGUCUAGUUCAGAUAAUUACUGAUGUCAGCUAUUCUAUAUCAGUCUUAUACUGACGUACUACUGCAAGUACAGACGGUUAUCCGAUAGCUGUCAUCCAUUUCAGCAGCAAUUGUCUUCUAGCUGUAUUCUAACUCAUCGCCAUGUAGGUAGUUGCCCC